CUCCUUGAUAGGUAGGGGGCAGGGCUGCAUUGGGGGGGGGGGGGGGGGGGGGGGGGGGGGGGGGGGGUGGAAUGCCAACUCUCGCGAGGCUGGUGCAGUCAUACGUGUGCUGCUCACGUUCCAGAUGGCCAGAUUCUGUACCUGGCUCCUGGCUGCCCCUGGCGCCAUCUUGAAUCGCUGUGAGGCGGUUUGAGCGAAGGUGUCUGAGCUGCGGUUCUGUUCUGGAAGCUCUAAUCCGACACUGUAGGCUCAAGACCUUUGCAUACAGCCCUCUACAGAUAACUGAACAUAUCUAAUCAAGUUUCUUUGCCUUUGAAACUUUGGUUUCUACAGGUCCAUGAGGGCAGGGAUUUCAUCUCUUUUGUUCACAACUGUAUAUCCAGAGUUUAGAGUGGACUUUGAAGAGGAAAAACAUUCGGCAGAGAGGAAAGAAACAGAAUACAUAUAUAAAUAGAGAGAGUGAAGAAGUGGAAAUCAUUGAUUCAUCAUAAAGUCAACACUCUGUAAGUAUUGACAUAGAUCAAAAAUAGAACAUUGUAUCAGUAUAGAAGUCUCUCUUUUGCCACAUUCUUGGUACAGCCAUGCUGUCUCACAAAUACAACCAUGCUCCUGUCAUUUGCAGUAAUCCUCUGCUUACUUUCCUGCAUAGUUUUACCACAUAGCAAUC
Molecule: long non-coding RNA, 667 nt
Filed under: Ovis aries (sheep)
Lineage: Eukaryota; Metazoa; Chordata; Mammalia; Artiodactyla; Bovidae
Description: lncRNA (ENSOARG00000025355.1)
Source: RNAcentral